RNAcentral lists this unclassified non-coding RNA (240 nucleotides) under soil metagenome. RNAcentral's name for it is "partial contains 5.8S ribosomal RNA, internal transcribed spacer 2, and large subunit ribosomal RNA". The record is from RNAcentral.
AAGACUAUAGACCUGCGGAGUACCUGCGGAAGGAUCAUUACCGAGUUUUCAACUCCCUAACCCUUCUGUGAACCUACCUAUCGUUGCUUCGGCGGACUCGCCCCAGCCCGGACGCGGACUGGACCAGCGGCCCGCCGGGGACCUCAAACUCUUGUAUUCCAGCAUCUUCUGAAUACGCCGCAAGGCAAAACAAAUGAAUCAAAACUUUCAGCAAUGGAUCUCUAGAUCGGAAGAGCACAC